This 69-nucleotide transfer RNA is filed under the name Rhinatrema nigrum (black caecilian). RNAcentral describes it as "tRNA-Gly". Lineage: Eukaryota; Metazoa; Chordata; Amphibia; Gymnophiona; Rhinatrematidae. The record is from RNAcentral.
AUCGCCCUAGUAUAACUAAUACAAAUGACUUCCAAUCAUUAUAUCCUGACUCAUCAUCAGGGGGCAAUA